UACGGAGGGUGCAAGCGUUAUUCGGAAUCAUUGGGUGUAAAGCGCGUGUAGGCGGCUUGGAAAGUCAGAUGUGAAAGCUUCGGGCUUAACCCGGAAAGUGCAUUUGAAACUCCCUAGCUUGAGUCCCGGAGAGGAAGGUGGAAUUCCCAGUGUAGAGGUGAAAUUCGUAGAUAUUGGGAGGAACACCGGUGGCGAAGGCGACCUUCUGGACGGUGACUGACGCUGAGACGCGAAAGCGUGGGUAGCAAACAGGAUUAGAUACCCUGGUAGUCCACGCCGUAAACGAUGAGAACUAGGUGUAGGGGGUAUUGACCCCCCCUGUGCCGUAGCUAACGCAUUAAGUUCUCCACCUGGGGAGUACGGCCGCAAGGCUAAA
Molecule: ribosomal RNA, 376 nt
Filed under: uncultured bacterium
Lineage: Bacteria
Description: bacterial SSU rRNA
Rfam family: Bacterial small subunit ribosomal RNA
Source: RNAcentral